GUUCACGAGUGCUACAUGUGUCAAUAAAGUUAGAUGACAAUUAAAAAGUAAAUGGCUGACAAAAGAAUGUGUCGCGAUUUCUAGAUUAUGAAGUAAUUCCUGACAGAAAAUCGAGAGAACGAAAUAGUUUUACGAUCACGAGAAGCUAUAUGAAAUGUGUAGACGAUUAAUAUAAAUUAAAUCAUUGUUCGCAAAUCAAUGGGUAACCUAAAAGACACUCACCGACAAUGCACGUUGGAAUGCCUUGUCGACCGGAUGGUAACCAAAAUACUCCUCGACACCAACGUUCACAGAAUCGUUUGACGAAGUUAACAUUUAUCGCAGGCUGGCGUCAGAUCUACCACUAAACAUUGAAUUAUUCAACUCAUUGCGACAAACAGAAUUAGAUGUAGAAGAUUAUGUACUGCCUAAACAGGUGAAACAAUCGAAAACUUUAAAAGAAUAUAGAAAACAUUUAAAACGUACAAAACAUCCUGAGCUAUGGAAAGUGAAUAUAAAAAAAAAUGCUAGACUAAGAAGCGAAGAAUAUACUGGGAUUGAAGGGAAAAUAGCACCAGCAAAAACCAUGGAAACUUUUUGAAAAUGCUGCAUGUAUUACGCUGACAAAAUAAACGAAGCUGCUCGGAAGGAGCUGCAUA
This 638-nucleotide unclassified non-coding RNA is filed under the name Bombus terrestris (buff-tailed bumblebee). Its description in RNAcentral is "misc RNA ENSBTSG00005032773.1". Lineage: Eukaryota; Metazoa; Arthropoda; Insecta; Hymenoptera; Apidae. The record is from RNAcentral.